Molecule: ribosomal RNA, 484 nt
Filed under: uncultured bacterium
Lineage: Bacteria
Description: partial 16S ribosomal RNA
Rfam family: Bacterial small subunit ribosomal RNA
Source: RNAcentral
AUUGAACGCUGGCGGCAGGCCUAACACAUGCCAGUCGAGCGGAUGAAGGGAGCUUGCUCCUGGAUUCAGCGGCGGACGGGUGAGUAAUGCCUAGGAAUCUGCCUGGUAGUGGGGGAUAACGUCCGGAAACGGGCGCUAAUACCGCAUACGUCCUGAGGGAGAAAGUGGGGGAUCUUCGGACCUCACGCUAUCAGAUGAGCCUAGGUCGGAUUAGCUAGUUGGUGGGGUAAAGGCCUACCAAGGCGACGAUCCGUAACUGGUCUGAGAGGAUGAUCAGUCACACUGGAACUGAGACACGGUCCAGACUCCUACGGGAGGCAGCAGUGGGGAAUAUUGGACAAUGGGCGAAAGCCUGAUCCAGCCAUGCCGCGUGUGUGAAGAAGGUCUUCGGAUUGUAAAGCACUUUAAGUUGGGAGGAAGGGCAGUAAGUUAAUACCUUGCUGCUUUGACGUUACCAACAGAAUAAGCACCGGCUAACUUCGUG